Molecule: ribosomal RNA, 335 nt
Filed under: uncultured bacterium
Lineage: Bacteria
Description: bacterial SSU rRNA
Rfam family: Bacterial small subunit ribosomal RNA
Source: RNAcentral
AUUUGAUAAGGCAUCUUAUUAAUAUUAAAGCUUCGGCACUUGAUGAUGGGUGUGCGGCUGAUUAGAUAGUUGGGCGGGGGUAACGGCCCACCAAGUCUACGAUCAGUAGCUGAUGUGAGAGCAUGAUCAGCCACACGGGGCACUGAGACACGGGCCCGACUCCUACGGGAGGCAGCAGUAAGGAUAUUGGACAAUGGACGAAAGUCUGAUCCAGCCAUGCCCGCGUGAAGGAUUAAGGUCCUCUGGAUUGUAAACUUCUUUUAUAUGGGACGAAAAAAGGGGCAUUCUUGUUCACUUGACGGUACCAUAUGAAUAAGCACCGGGCUAACUCCGUG